Molecule: non-coding RNA, 1236 nt
Organism: Phascolarctos cinereus (koala)
Lineage: Eukaryota; Metazoa; Chordata; Mammalia; Diprotodontia; Phascolarctidae
Source: RefSeq, a predicted model, not a curated record
CCUUGGCCCCCCAGCAUCCAGAUCUCUGGGUGCUCUAUUAAUGCUCCCUGGAGACAGGUUCCAGAGAAGCUCCCAGGAAAAGUCAAGAAAUGUUACGGAGCUGGACCCAGCGCCAACCAAGAACCCUUUCUAUGGCAUCUCUUACCAGAGGUCCCCUGGCCUCCCCAUGAAGAUCUCCCCCUCCACACUCCCCACUCUGGCUUGUCCCUACCCCCUGAGCUCCACCCGAAGGCAGGAGGUGACAGAGGGGUGGAUUUGGAGGCACAGCACUUGGGCUCUUUACCUGGGAGACCCUGGGAAACAGGAUGGAGAAGAGGGAACGCCAGGACCAAAGGCAGACAGGCCUGGAGGAGGCAGGGAACAAGGGCUCAGGCUGCACUCUGGGGCCAUCUGGAUCCUAAUCUUCGCAUCGUGGUGAAAUGGUUAAAGUUCUCAAGUUUCCUCCACUGGACAACCAGCAUACGGAGGUCGGAGGUCCAUAGGGGGAGCACAGAGCAGGCGAUCAUAGAACUCUAGAUCUGGAGCUAGAAGGGACCUCGCAGGCCAACAAGUGCUCACAGAUCAGGAAACUGAGAAAGAAGGCCCUAUCAACAGCACGUGCCUCCCCCGUGACUGUGAAGAUCUCUGUAAAGCGCUCUGCAAACCUUAGCACCACACGCAAAUGCCAGACACGGGGGCAGUUGUUAAGAAAAUGCAAAAUAACUCCUGACGGGAGGGACCACAGCUCCUGUAGAAGGCAGAGGCGAGAACCCCUGCCUCAGAGCUUCCACUCUACGGCCUCUGGACAGACAAGCAGACAAAACACCCUUUGCAAAGCAGAGCGACCCUAACAAGUGGAGGAUGAGGAAAGUUCUCGGGUAGGAGACGGCCAAUGCAGAAGCCAAGGCUCCUCUCGCCAAGGAUCGGACUCCAGAGGACCUAGCACCCAAGGCCCGGAGGUCAACCCGACCAAGCUCCCAUUUUACAGAUGAGAAAGCUGAGACCCAGCUGGGGGAAAGGACACGGCAGAGCUGGGCUCCACCUGCUGCCCACUCUGGCUCCCAGCACCCGUCCUUGGACUGGGGGUGAGGGGCAGGCAGCUGACCUCUGCCUCCAGAGUGAGUUGUUCCUCCCCCACCCCCUUACACUGGCCUCAGUCUCCCAACUUUCUCCUUCUGGAUUAGCUGGUUAUUAAGCACCCACUGUGUGCCAGGCACUGUGCUAAGGGCUGGGGACACAAAGGAAGGGGGUGGCCCA